AUUGAACGCUGGCGGCAUGCUUUACACAUGCAAGUCGAACGGCAGCACGGGGGCUUGCUCCUGGUGGCGAGUGGCGAACGGGUGAGUAAUGCAUCGGAACGUACCCAGUAGUGGGGGAUAGCCCGGCGAAAGCCGGAUUAAUACCGCAUAUUUCCUGAGGGAGAAAGCGGGGGACCUUCGGGCCUCGCGCUACUGGAGCGGCUGAUGUCGGAUUAGCUAGUUGGUGAGGUAAAGGCUCACCAAGGCGACGAUCCGUAGCUGGUCUGAGAGGAUGAUCAGCCACACUGGGACUGAGACACGGCCCAGACUCCUACGGGAGGCAGCAGUGGGGAAUUUUGGACAAUGGGCGCAAGCCUGAUCCAGCCAUGCCGCGUGAGUGAAGAAGGCCUCGGUUGUAAGAC
This 401-nucleotide ribosomal RNA is filed under the name uncultured bacterium. RNAcentral describes it as "bacterial SSU rRNA". It matches the Rfam family "Bacterial small subunit ribosomal RNA", at positions 30 to 431 of the family's 1533-position model. The record is from RNAcentral.